GCCAUUAUAGCUCAGAGGUAGAGCGCAUCAUUGGUAAUGAUGAGGUGGCGGGUUCAAGUCUCGCUUUUGGCA
RNAcentral lists this transfer RNA (72 nucleotides) under Rickettsiales bacterium (ex Bugula neritina AB1). RNAcentral's name for it is "tRNA-Thr". It matches the Rfam family "tRNA". From Rfam's summary of the family: Transfer RNA (tRNA) molecules are approximately 80 nucleotides in length. Lineage: Bacteria; Pseudomonadati; Pseudomonadota; Alphaproteobacteria; Rickettsiales. The record is from RNAcentral.